UGCAUCGGCCGGGAAUCGAACCCAGGGCGCCCGCAUCGCAGGCGAGCAUUCUACCACUGACCCAAAAGC
Molecule: transfer RNA, 69 nt
Filed under: Cordylochernes scorpioides
Lineage: Eukaryota; Metazoa; Arthropoda; Arachnida; Pseudoscorpiones; Chernetidae
Description: tRNA-Arg
Source: RNAcentral